RNAcentral lists this ribosomal RNA (460 nucleotides) under uncultured bacterium. RNAcentral's name for it is "partial 16S ribosomal RNA". It matches the Rfam family "Bacterial small subunit ribosomal RNA", at positions 338 to 795 of the family's 1533-position model. The record is from RNAcentral.
CCUACGGGAGGCAGCAGUGAGGAAUAUUGGUCAAUGGGCGCGAGCCUGAACCAGCCAAGUAGCGUGAAGGAUGACUGCCCUGCGGGUUGUAAACUUCUUUUAUCAAGGAAUAAAGUCAGGCACGUGUGCCUUUUUGUGUGUACUUUAUGAAUAAGCAUCGGCUAACUCCGUGCCAGCAGCCGCGGUAAUACGGAGGAUCCGAGCGUUAUCCGGAUUUAUUGGGUUUAAAGGGAGCGUAGAUGGGUUGUUAAGUCAGUUGUGAAAGUUUGCGGCUCAACCCUAAAAUUGCAGUUGAUACUGGCAGCCUUGAGUAGAGUUGAGGUAGGCGGAAUGCGUGGUGUAGCGGUGAAAUGCUUAGAUAUCACGAAGAACUCCGAUUGCGAAGGCAGCUUACUAACCUGCCACUGACAUUGAGGCUCGAAAGUGUGGGUAUCAAACAGGAUUAGAUACCCCGGUAGUC